AGUGAACGCUGGCGGUAUGCCUAACACAUGCAAGUCGAACGGCAGCACAGUAAGAGCUUGCUCUUACGGGUGGCGAGUGGCGGACGGGUGAGGAAUACAUCGGAAUCUACUUUUUCGUGGGGGAUAACGUAGGGAAACUUACGCUAAUACCGCAUACGACCUACGGGUGAAAGCAGGGGAUCUUCGGACCUUGCGCGAUUGAAUGAGCCGAUGUCGGAUUAGCUAGUUGGCGGGGUAAAGGCCCACCAAGGCGACGAUCCGUAGCUGGUCUGAGAGGAUGAUCGGCCACACUGGAACUGAGACACGGUCCAGACUCCUACGGGAGGCAGCAGAGGGGAAUAUUGGACAAUGGGCGCAAGCCUUAUCCAGCCAUACCGCGUGGGUGAAGAAGGCCUUCGGGUUGUAAAGCCCUUUUGUUGGGAAAGAAAAGCAGCAGGUUAAUACCCCGCUGUUCUGACGGUACCCAAAGAAUAAGCACCGGCUAACUUCGUG
Molecule: ribosomal RNA, 492 nt
Filed under: uncultured bacterium
Lineage: Bacteria
Description: partial 16S ribosomal RNA
Rfam family: Bacterial small subunit ribosomal RNA
Source: RNAcentral